AAAUACACUCACACUAAGAACUUAGACAACCCAGAGGACUUGAGAACAUAUGAUGGGGAAGGAGUCAAUCCCUAUGACAUAAAGUAUAAACUGGUCUCCAUCCUAGAGGAGAAAGUGCUGGAAGAAUGCCUCUCUAUUCUCUAUUAUUGGAAAGAAAGAAGUAUUCCUUGAAAGAAUGGCACAUGUGCUUCCAGGAAACAAAGAAAGAACAAGAUGAGGAGAGGGGAAUACUGCUAUGUGUCACAAGUUUAGAAGUGAAGUGAGUUUUGACGAUCAUGGCUUUUGCAAAACCUAGAAGAAGCAAUCCAUACAUGGCCACGUGACCAGUGAUGACCAAAGUAAUACUGCUUUGCACUGAGCCACUUAGGAACCAGAAAACUAACAGAUUGGAUAAUCAGCAUUUUGAAUCAUG
Vombatus ursinus (common wombat) is the source of this 412-nucleotide long non-coding RNA. RefSeq lists it as uncharacterized. Lineage: Eukaryota; Metazoa; Chordata; Mammalia; Diprotodontia; Vombatidae. The record is from RefSeq and is a predicted model, not a curated record. The transcript is spliced from 3 exons.